Toxorhynchites rutilus septentrionalis is the source of this 560-nucleotide long non-coding RNA. RefSeq lists it as uncharacterized. The record is from RefSeq and is a predicted model, not a curated record. The transcript is spliced from 2 exons. NCBI's taxonomy places the organism in Eukaryota, Metazoa, Arthropoda, Insecta, Diptera, Culicidae.
GUUUUCAUUAGCCGAUAGUUCUAGAUGUUUGCAGAGCAGACUUUUCCAGAGCGUGUUUUUGAACAACUCAACUUUUACAGUAAAACUUUUGAAUAUAUUACAAUAAAAAUCAAAAGGACUCGAAGGUGCCACAACCAACCGGAGAUGUGGAAACCUUUGCGUUAAGGCUGAGAUCUCAGCUGAUGUCGCUUAUCAUCAACACGUUCUACCCGAACAAAGAAAUAUUCUUGCGUGAAUUGAUCACCAACUCUUCGUAUGCUUUCGACAAAAUUCGUUAUAAAUCGCUCAUCGAACCCUUAAAAUUGGACAGCGACAAGGAGCUGUUGUUUAUCAAGCUCAUUUUUAACAAGGAAGCUGGAACUCUGACUGACAUCGAUACUUGUAUCGGAAUGACCAAAACCGAUCUGGUCAAUAACCUUGGUACGAUCGCCAAGACCGGAACGAAAGCGUUAAUGUAAGCUUUGCAAGCCGGAGCCAACAUGUGGAAGAUUGCUAGCAACUGUUUCCAUUAACAGCAUGCUAUCUUUAAAGAUUAUUAUAAUAAAAUUGACUAUUCGAUA